This 447-nucleotide ribosomal RNA is filed under the name uncultured bacterium. RNAcentral's name for it is "SSU rRNA". It matches the Rfam family "Bacterial small subunit ribosomal RNA", at positions 26 to 518 of the family's 1533-position model. The record is from RNAcentral.
AGAGCGAACGCUGGCGGCAGGCUUAACACAUGCAAGUCGAGCGGAUGUAGCAAUACAUCAGCGGCAGACGGGUGAGUAACACGUGGGAACGUACCUUUUGGUUCGGAACAACACAGGGAAACUUGUGCUAAUACCGGAUAAGCCCUUACGGGGAAAGAUUUAUCGCCGAAAGAUCGGCCCGCGUCUGAUUAGCUAGUUGGUGAGGUAAUGGCUCACCAAGGCGACGAUCAGUAGCUGGUCUGAGAGGAUGAUCAGCCACAUUGGGACUGAGACACGGCCCAAACUCCUACGGGAGGCAGCAGUGGGGAAUAUUGGACAAUGGGCGCAAGCCUGAUCCAGCCAUGCCGCGUGAGUGAUGAAGGCCCUAGGGUUGUAAAGCUCUUUGUGCGGGAAGAUAAUGACGGUACCGCAAGAAUAAGCCCCGGCUAACUUCGCGCCAGCAGCCGC